AAAAUAUGUUAUGUAUCAUCAUCAAAUAAAAGAUAUAUUCAAAUAUUAAGACUAAACAAAAGUGAGGACACUUUAAUUUUCGACAAAACACGAAGAUAAGCAAAUGAAUUAAUGAUGCUAGUACCUGGUGCAUGUGUAUUUUAAUGUGAUAAAAACCAGCCCAUAUAAAUGUAAAAGAGGAACUAAAGAUACCAGAAGGACAGUCAAACUGGGAGAUCGAAAAUAAACUGACAACUCCAUGGCUAAAACAGUAAAAGACAAACAGACAAAUAAUAGUAGAAAAGACACAACGUAGAAAACUAAUAACUAAGCAACACAAGCC
Molecule: long non-coding RNA, 322 nt
Filed under: Mytilus galloprovincialis (Mediterranean mussel)
Lineage: Eukaryota; Metazoa; Mollusca; Bivalvia; Mytilida; Mytilidae
Source: RNAcentral